This 600-nucleotide ribosomal RNA is filed under the name uncultured archaeon. RNAcentral describes it as "bacterial SSU rRNA". It matches the Rfam family "Archaeal small subunit ribosomal RNA", at positions 74 to 671 of the family's 1478-position model. The record is from RNAcentral.
ACCACCGGCGGACGGCUCAGUAACACGUCGGUAACCUACCCUCGGGAGGGGGAUGACCCCGGGAAACUGGGGCUAAUUCCCCAUAGGCCUGAGGUACUGGAAGGUCCUCAGGCCGAAAGGGACUUAUGUCCGCCCGAGGAUGGGCCGGCGGCCGAUUAGGUAGUUGGUGGGGUAAUGGCCCACCAAGCCGAAGAUCGGUACGGGCUGUGAGAGCAAGAGCCCGGAGAUGGACACUGAGACACGGGUCCAGGCCCUACGGGGCGCAGCAGGCGCGAAACCUCCGCAAUGCGGGAAACCGCGACGGGGGGACCCCGAGUGCCGUGGCAACGCCACGGCUUUUCCGGAGUGUAAAAAGCUCCGGGAAUAAGGGCUGGGCAAGGCCGGUGGCAGCCGCCGCGGUAAUACCGGCGGCCCGAGUGGUGGCCGCUAUUAUUGGGCCUAAAGCGUCCGUAGCCGGGCCCGUAAGUCCCUGGCGAAAUCCCACGGCUCAACCGUGGGGCUUGCUGGGGAUACUGCGGGUCUUGGGACCGGGAGAGGCGGGGGGUACCCCUGGGGUAGGGGUGAAAUCCUAUAAUCCCAGGGGGACCGCCAGUGGCGAAG